RNAcentral lists this ribosomal RNA (253 nucleotides) under uncultured bacterium. Its description in RNAcentral is "partial 16S ribosomal RNA". It matches the Rfam family "Bacterial small subunit ribosomal RNA", at positions 524 to 776 of the family's 1533-position model. The record is from RNAcentral.
UACAGAGGAUGCAAGCGUUAUCCGGAAUGAUUGGGCGUAAAGCGUCUGUAGGUGGCUUUUUAAGUCCGCCGUCAAAUCCCAGGGCUCAACUCUGGACAGGCGGUGGAAACUACCAAGCUGGAGUACGGUAGGGGCAGAGGGAAUUUCCGGUGGAGCGGUGAAAUGCGUAGAGAUCCGGAGGAACACCAGCGGCGAAGGCGGCAUCCUGGACUGGUACUGACGCUCAGGAGCGAAAGCGUGGGGAGCGAUCCGG